RNAcentral lists this non-coding RNA (118 nucleotides) under Populus trichocarpa (black cottonwood). RNAcentral's name for it is "Bacterial small subunit ribosomal RNA". It matches the Rfam family "Bacterial small subunit ribosomal RNA", at positions 402 to 535 of the family's 1533-position model. The record is from Rfam by way of RNAcentral. Lineage: Eukaryota; Viridiplantae; Streptophyta; Magnoliopsida; Malpighiales; Salicaceae.
UGGAGGUAGAGGGCCUAUGGAUCGUGAAUUUCUUUUCCUAAAGAAGAAGCAAUAACGGUAUCUGGGGAAUAAGCAUUGGUUAACUUUGUGCCAGCAGCUGCGGUAAUACAGAGGAUGC